Oncorhynchus keta (chum salmon) is the source of this 2591-nucleotide long non-coding RNA. RefSeq lists it as uncharacterized. NCBI's taxonomy places the organism in Eukaryota, Metazoa, Chordata, Actinopteri, Salmoniformes, Salmonidae. The transcript has 4 exons. The record is from RefSeq and is a predicted model, not a curated record.
AGGGUUAUCCUAGUGGGUUGUAUGAUUUGUGUUUGAUUGGAUAGGCUGAUAACCACAUUUCAAAUACACAGUGACAUAACUAUCUAUAAAAACUUACUGUGUGCAAAUACUAUAUUUUUUAUUGCACAUACAAAGCAUAAUUUACAACUUGGGGAACUUGGAGAGGAGAUGUGAAUCAUAUCCACCAUUAAGCAGUGCUAAAUAACAGGCUAAAAGUUAUUGGAUGACGCCAUGGAGCCUUGACUGAUGAGCAAUGUUGUCUGUCAUAUGCAUUACUCAAAUUACUGACUGUUUCUUUCGAAAUGUGGCUUGUGAGUCAGUCACUCUCAGCCAGCCAAAUGGAAAAAAAAGUUAAAUACAUGGACGGACGUCAUGAUAAAAGUGACGUCAGGCUUCCCUUAGCUUGCGCCAAGGCCUGAAGUUUUACAAGUAAAAUAAACAUGAUGCAUUUACAUUAUAACUAGAAUAGGUCACAUGGGGGUCAUGUUAUUAGUCGAAAUAAAUAUUUGUUGAACCGGGUAAAACUGGUCAGACAAGCGAGCAAUUCUGAGAAAUAGAGCGACCUCGGGAUACUUCACCGAGCGCGAAGAGUGGAAGGGAGAGUUGCACCAUCACUUUCUAAAAGUUUAACAUUGCUGUUUCACGAAAACAUACAACUAAAAAAGUGCUUUCCCCUCGGCCACCACAGCAUCCGUCUCCCUGUCGUCCCCAUGCAGCCGAGUCGCACACCAGGAAGGAAAGGGAAGUGGACACGUCGUUUGCAUAGCUGGUUCCUGUUGGCGGUGAGGGAGAGGUUGAGCAAUCCCCUGGGCCAUUGCGUAAGCUGGCCCCCUUCACUUUCAGGUACGAGCUAGUGAAUCUGUCUCUGUGGCUGAAAGUCAAGCCUCUUCUAGGAAUGUGAUACGUGUCAGAGGAGCGGGAUUGAGGUAAUGCCAUGCAAAUACUGCUCCAGCUCCACUGACUGCACAGCUACACAGACAGACAACACAGCACACAGGGGAGGUUGUGCAAGACCUGACACCUGCUGAACAGUGGCAGGCAGAAACACAUGAGGGGGUGAGCGAGAGAGAGGACGAAAUAGAGAGACAGAGGGAGAGAGAGGAAGAGUGGAGAAGACAAAACAAGAGAUGGAGCAGAGCGGGACUGACUGCUAUCAUGCCGUAACGGGUUGCAAUCAGUGUGCAAUGAUGACCAACACUUAGGCAUCACCUCUCCACACACAUAGUCUGCUUGCGUGUUUCAAGCGGCACCACAGGAGUCAACAGCAAUGGAAAAUGCAGUUCUAUUCAUAGAUUGCAUGAGAGUUGCAGGAGGUGAGAGUGUAUGUUGGAUCAUGAGUUUUCAGUGCCAGGUGCUGAAGAGGAAAAGGAUUGACUGGAAACGUUAUGCUUUUUUUUGACUGAAAACGCAUAACAUAUUCAUGAACUAUGUGUAAUAUAUUCAUAAAUGCUACAUACUGUAAAUGCAUAUAGUAGUUAUGCAUCCAUCAGUAGGGAUGUCACUGUCAUUGUCUGUUAACCUGUGGUUGUUGAAAUAACAUGACCUAAAAUGAGCAUUUAUUAAUGUUUAGUGCCAACAGACACAAUAAAAUACAUUGACAUCUGUCAUCCAUAUAUUGACUCAAUUAAUCAUGGAGAUCUAGUUUGUAGACUCCCAAGUUUAACAGGUUUGAUUGGGCGCCAACCGUACAGUAACACCCACAGGAAAAAACAACAACACCCCUCCUCCCCCCAGAAAUUCACCCCCUGCGAAAGGGAAGUGCUUAUCUGGUGUUCACAGCCUCGUUAGGGACUCUUUGGUUUGGUUUGCACUAAAAAAAAAAAUUAAAAAAGGAAGUGCUGAGAGGUAAAUCUUUUUCUGUGAAGGGAGUGUCUGAUAACAUUGGUAUUCCCCUACAUACACACACACACGCACGAGCAACACACGCACGCACACGCUCUCUCUCUGACAGAGCUAAUUGUGGAAGGGCAAUGUCGUAGCAAGUUCUUCUUGCUGGAAACAGUGACAGGUUUCAAACGACUGAGAAGUGGUCAGAAAGCAUUACUCAUUACCAGAAACAGAAAGUCAUAUUGGGCGAACAGAUAGCCCAGCAUUUUUCCCUCUCAAGGGCAUUUCCAUGUUUUUUUGCUGACCUUUUAUGUCUUUACGUAGACAUAAUAUAUGAUAUUGGUGUACUUUUAGAGACAUUUCAAUCUACUCUUUUAAUACAGUCAUAAUAUCCUAUAAUUGCUUAUAUGCAUCCAGAUGUAUUUCAAUAUCAACGACAUGUAACUUUUGUUGCUCUUGUUUUGACUCCAAGCUUUUGUUGGCGUGGUUGUGUUCUGCUGUGGAUCUGGUUGUAAGAUGACUGUCUGCAAAUAUUUUUGUGUAUGUGAGUCUUUCUGUAAACUAGGGUACCAGUGAUUUCCUACACUGGACAACUUGUUACAUCUGUUGAUACGUCAUUGAUAGUAAUCUGCCAUUUUCUUUAUGUCAUUAAAUUAAGAUGUAAGGGGGAUCAUAGCUAUAUUCAAUCAAAUGUACAAGUUGAUGUAAAACCUGUGUUUAACACUUUAUCAUGGUUGGUGUCUUGACAGAUUUGUCUAAAAUCG